Small nuclear RNA from Schistocerca serialis cubense, 190 nucleotides. RefSeq annotates it as U2 spliceosomal RNA. The transcript has a single exon. The record is from RefSeq and is a predicted model, not a curated record. NCBI's taxonomy places the organism in Eukaryota, Metazoa, Arthropoda, Insecta, Orthoptera, Acrididae.
AUCCAUUUGUAUGGACCCUUUUGGCUAAGAUCAAAGUGUAGUAUCCGCUCCUAUCAACUUAAAAAGGGAUACGUGCUGCACUGCAGGACUACAGUAUUUAACUUAUUUUUGACUCACGAUUGUUCAGGGCUUAAAAACUCACGAAAGACUGUUUUCUCUUAUUUAUCGAGAAAACAAAAGACAAAACUUC